UAUACAUACCUGGACUAAGACUAGUAAUUAUUUCCCCUUAUUUCAUGAUGGACGAAUGUAGUGCGAGUUAUAAAUAGACAAUUUUUCCCUUAAUUUUUUUCUCCCCUCUUCCUGCAUUUUUGGGUUGACUUUUUGGUCUAGAAUUGGAGAAAAGGGAUCAAAUUUGCAAUUUCAUAGCAGUUUUGGGUAAUACUGAUGAUAUUACAGCGGAGGGAUAGGGGGUGUAAAGUGUCUUUCUGCAGAGCAAUCAUUGUGUCGGAAGUGAGAUUUUCACCCCUGUCAACUUCAAAUCCGUGUAGCAAAAAAUCUAAAUGGUCAACCCCCUACAAAAUUAUGAUGAGGAGAUUGCCAAAUGUUGUCCCCAUUGUGCCUAUAAAGAUUGGAACCAACGGAAUGUUGAGCAAAAAGCUACAGCCUGUGAUGUUACAGUCAUUUAACAUUGAAGUCAAUGGGCAAGUAAUUGCUAGUCUGAGUCCUGAUGAUAUAAAGAAGCAUGGCCGACUCGGGAUGUUGAUAUUUUUUCAACGGCUUAUUUCCUGAAGUUUUGAAUGGAAAGUGUCAGAAAUGGUGCCAGGGUAAUGUUUCAUAGAGUGGAAUGAUUGACCUCAACACAAGUAUUAAAAAAAAAGAAGCAAAACAGGUCUACAUCUCAAAACCUGAUGUCUUCCUGGACUGGCUUUAGGAGAACGAUGAUGCAUAUCAAUUUCAUCCCUGAUCUCUAUGACACCUGUGGUGGAAGUGGAGGGCAAAUCGUAAUCAGUUUGGGUUCCAGCCCCGAGGACCUCUGUAAACUUUGCUUUUUGGUGAUGACUUAAUUUCCGAGCUUGAAAAGGACGCCCGUGUGUUUAUCAUGGCCUCUCAUAUUGGAAGAUAACAUUAAUGGCUUGUGUGUUGAUCGACGGUUGUGCAUAUCUCUUGGUCAGGAAAGUUGUAGGCACCAUCGCCAUUGUAAAUCAUUUGACAGGCCCGAGUGAACAGGGCGACCUAUGAUUGGUCAGCAAUGUAUCGGAUUCCAUAAUGGGGGGUGGGGAUGAAAAAACUGUUGUAGUGUUACAUAAUCAGAUUAUUUCAACUUACUUAUCCUGUGGAAAUACAGCUAGAUAGGAGAUAUUUUGAAAUUCAUAGGCACUGCAUGUUUCAACAUUUUAGAUUUGACCACAAUUUGGCACUUGAAACUAUGUUAACAGAGAAAAACUGUGUGGUUUUCGAUGAAAGUGUUAAAAGUCUAAUAUUGCAUCAUGAUUACUGUUUUAAAGUAUUUUCGUGUUUGAUUUAUAUUGAAUUCAUCUCAUCUUUUUGAAGAAUGCAUUUAUGUUCAAAAAUAAAAAUGUUCUGUGGAAUUCAAAAUUCAUGUGCUUUUAAAUUAUCAGAUUCCAAACUGGGGGGUGGGGAUGAAAAAGCUGUUGUAGUGUUACAUAAUCAGAUUAUUUCAACUUACUUAUCCUAUGGAAAUACAGCUAUAUAGGAGAUAUUUUAAAAUUGAUAGGCACUGCAUGUUUCAACAUUUUAGAUUUGACCACAAUUUGGCACUUGAAACUACGUUAACAGAGAAAAACUGUGUGGUUUUCGAUGAAAGUGUUAAAAAGUCUAAUAUUGCAUCAUGAUUACUGUUUUAAAGUAUUUUCGUGUUUGAUUUAUAUUGAAUUUAUCUCAUCUUUUUACAGAAUGCAUUUAUGUUCAAAAAUAAAAAUGUUCUGUUUAAUUCAAAAUUCAUGUGCUUUUAAAUUUCUGUCUGAAAUUCCGCAGUUUUCUGAUGUAUUAUAGUGUUUGCAGAAUGCCGCACAGCUCAUCUGAAAAUGCAUAGAUUUUCAUAUUCUUUGGCCAGGGAAUUGCAUAUAUGUUUGUUUAUUAGAUAACAACAGAUUUGUUUAAACUGCAGAAACAUGUGAGGUAUAUAGGACUAAGACUAGUAAUUAUUUCCCCUUAUUUCAUGAUGGACGAAUGUAGUGCGAGUUAUUAAUAGACAAUUUUUCCCUUAAUUUUUUUCUCCCCUCUUCCUGCAUUUUUGGGUUGACUUUUUGGUCUAGAAUUGGAGAAAAGGGAUCAAAUUUGCAAUUUCAUAGCAGUUUUGGGUAAUACUGAUGAUAUUACAGCGGAGGGAUAGGGGGUGUAAAGUGUCUUUCUGCAGAGCAAUCAUUGUGUCGGAAGUGAGAUUUUCACCCCUGUCAACUUCAAAUCCGUGUAGCAAAAAAUCUAAAUGGUCAACCCCCUACAAAAUUAUGAUGAGGAGAUUGCCAAAUGUUGUCCCCAUUGUGCCUAUAAAGAUUGGAACCAACGGAAUGUUGAGCAAAAAGCUACAGCCUGUGAUGUUACAGUCAUUUAACAUUGAAG
This is a long non-coding RNA of Patella vulgata (common limpet), 2331 nucleotides long. RefSeq lists it as uncharacterized. NCBI's taxonomy places the organism in Eukaryota, Metazoa, Mollusca, Gastropoda, Patellidae. The transcript has 3 exons. The record is from RefSeq and is a predicted model, not a curated record.